This is a non-coding RNA of Caenorhabditis elegans, 21 nucleotides long. The record is from Ensembl. Lineage: Eukaryota; Metazoa; Nematoda; Chromadorea; Rhabditida; Rhabditidae.
UGACAAAAGUAUAAUGUAAAG